This 37786-nucleotide long non-coding RNA is filed under the name Selaginella moellendorffii. RNAcentral's name for it is "long non-coding RNA (SMOE_LNC001676)". Lineage: Eukaryota; Viridiplantae; Streptophyta; Lycopodiopsida; Selaginellales; Selaginellaceae. The record is from RNAcentral.
GAUGUUUUUUGCAAAUCCGUUUGAGGUUUUCACAUUCAAUCCGUUGGACGCAGAAAUGAGGAUGGUAUUGCAGGAAGUGUGCUACCUGAACGAUAUAACCCACCUGAAAACAUACACAAAUAAACAUGUAAGAUAGAAAGUGAUACAAACCUGAAGACGAAGUCUCUUCAUUGAUCCAGUGUGAGUCCUCUCUGCCCAGUCCUCAUUUCACAGAGGAUCUCUUGAACAGUGAUACGUGUCGUGUCCCUUCGCUAGGCAGAGGUAGCAUUUCUUUUGUUCAUGAGCAAAAGGAUCCACUCCAGGCUAAAAGAAGAAACAAAAAGUCAAAUCUGGAAAACAAGUGACCCCCUUGCAGUGUCUUUCCCAAUGGCCUCUCUUCUUACAAUUUCUGCAUUGGUCGACGAGUAACCCCUCCUUCUCACCCGGACGAUGAGUUCCUAUGAUCUCGUACCUGUUACAAACAAAAGCUAGUAAAGAUCGAACUCAAUCUUGCGUACCUUGCUCGUGGGUUCUCGAUUGCAAAAACGUCCACCUCCUUCGGCUUUUCCUUUGUGAACACAUUGUGCUGCCCGUUGCUGCUGCCGCCAUAGGCCUUCAUCCUCAAAACGUAAGCCUUCCUGUAGUGCCCGUUGCUGCUGCUGGUGUACGCCUUCAUCCUCAAAACGUAAAGUCCAGAACCCACAGGUAGCUAUACCCCGUUCUUGUCCCUGCUGUAUUGAAAAGAUACAGAAAAGCAGAAAAGACACGAGCUUUAAUUCCAGGAUCCCUUACCUGGAGAACCGAAGCAAUGCAAUCAAAGAGGAGAACACGAUGUAGCUCCGUAGCAGUGCCACAAAUAAUUAGGUUUCCAUGAGCCGCAGGCGGGAGAAUCUGGGCGAUACCUUGACCACCCUGCCGCAAAAUCUACAGUUAUUGACAUUCUUUUCCCACUUACAUCGUUAAAACUUAACGACUGCGUGUGUUGCACGCACCAGAGAAAGAUUUUGCGGUGCGUGCAACCCCUCUCUCGAGAACAGGAUCUGCUUCAUAUAGCAGGCCGUCUCGCCUUCCACCAGUUUUUCUAGAGCUGCCUUGCACCGAGCCACACCUUACAAGCUCGAGGAUGAGAUCUCGAUUCGCUUCAUACCUUCACAAAGUGGCUUCCGAGUGGAAAAUGAAUGAAGCAUAGCAGCAUGCCUUCAAAGUCUCACCUAGUGUGCGAAACACGGCUUUGCAUGUCAAUUUCUACCACUCCUCACAGCCAUCGAGAGUCGUGCCUUCAAGGCUAGCAAGAGCAUGCGCUGCAGCGUCGUGAUCAUUCCCGAUCCAAGCUUUGGUCGACAAGCCUCUGAGCGCAUCAAUCACCUCCUCACCAAGUCCAGCUGGUACUCACUUGCAGAACGUUCACCCGCGGCUUUUCCAUGAAGCACGAUAACCUUCGUCAUCUUCUUCCCACUCAAAGUCUGAGCAGUGCCAUUGUGUCGCUUGUCAACGCUCGAACCAAGCCUGACUGGAUUUCCAAGAACAUGAAACGGGGGCGGCUCCACAGAUUUUACUGGCUCAGGAGAGUUCUUGCUUCACCUUCUCAGGAUCCAGAUCAAGGUCGAUGAAGGGAGAUGAACACACCUGACUGUGAGCACUGGCUAACUUUACACGAAUCAUCAUGUGUGCACUUGGACAAGAUAAACAUAAGGUAAGAACUCUUAUAUAUAUCUUGAUGAGCAUCCUUAGCUUGGGACGUACGUGACGUAUGGGCCACGGACGACUUUUCCCGUACAUGAAAGUAUCACGGUAUCCAUGUCUCCAGGAUCGCACUCGGUAACCAUGAGGCCUCUAUCUCGUAGAUGACGCCAUGAGAUAAGAAAACGCAGCUCGCUGGUUAGCUUUCUUCAUGGAAGUGAUAACCAGACUCUUGCCGGCCUUACAUUGUGCGUCUGGGGCCCCGAGUUUCAGCGCAAGUUGGGCCUUGAAGAGGUGAGAAAACUCCUCUUCGCUGGAAAUCUAUUGUUAGUAAGAAAACAAAAGAGAAAAUGGCCUGAUCUCCAAGGGCAGAGAAGAAGCACGAGUAAAAGAAUGCUGUGUAUUGAUAAGAAAAACGAUGGAAUGGAGAUAGGGAUCCACAAUUUGGAUUCCCCCUUUUGAAAUGCUAGCGGUUCUAACUGCUAGCAUAUACCAUAUGCUGUGCAUGAUUUAAUCUAUGGCUCCGAUGCAGCCCUGGGUUCAAAGUCGGAGUCCCCUGAACCUUGUUUUUGGUUGAGACACUCUGCUCCCCUGACAGAACUAGACACCGUCCUCGGUGCGAACAUAGUCAGUUUCCAUCGCUUGUUGCUGCUGCUGCUCCAGUCGAUAGAGGCGACGUUUUUGCUGUGGGAGUGUAAGCUCGUGGUUAGGGACGCUGUCUGGUGGAUCUGUCCCAUCUUCCUGGAGGUCGGCUACCUCAGCCAGCAGGGCGGUAUGAUCAUCCUCGAGUUUUCGGUAGCGGGUGUUGAGCUCUUCAUAUUUGAAUUUGUAGGUGAAUUCGUGAGCUGCUGAUGGCUGCUUGGAGACGAUCUUCCUGAUGUCCCGGAGGUCAGUGCAGAUCUGCUUCAUCUCUUCAAUCUGAGUUUCCAGCCGGUGGUUUAAAGGCUCAUAAAAUUCCUUCUUGAUCGCUCCCCGGGUGUAUAUGAAGGAGUCUUGCUUGAGAAGAUGCUGUGCAAUGUCGGCUGGUGUUGGGAAGUAGUUUGCUUGCUCGCGGUGCAUGCGUUGAUCCAGGGCUUCAAACAACUUGCGGGUGCAGUAGCUUGGGUCGCGAAGUUUAUCUUCCUACUCCUUCCUGAUCUCAUCAUAAUCACGGCGUACCUGACUCUGUGGCUGAGGCAUGGUUGCUGCUCCUGCUCCUGCUCGGUGAUCCUGGUGUUUCUCGCUAGGGUUCGCUCUGUUCUUGGUCCCGGGAGUUGAAGUUACUGGAGGCUGAAUCUGCUUCGUUGGAUGUGGGUGACGUGGUUGGGCCAGAUUUUUUGAGGUGGUUGGAGAUGAGCUUUUCAGUUUGAUGGUGGAUGAACGGCCCAGAUGUGGCGUUGAAAUUAAUUUAUCCAUUGAGAAAUUUUUCGCUUGGAAUUUUGUUGAAGGGGCGGAAUUUUUGUGAAUGCUGGUCGUGGUAUUUGCUGGAGGAGACAUGGUUGCGUGUUCUUCAAGUGAUUGGCGAAGGUAGUCAAUGUUUUCUUUUGUAGAACGUGUCAAGGAGGUCGGGGCGUUGAGAAUGUUGUUCUCAGCUGGUGUAGAAAUUGAGUUCUGGGUGAUCAGCUGACGUUUUUCUUUGGCAAUGUUGAUGUGUUUGUGAGAAGUUGUCGGUUUUGGGGCUGAUUCGAGUGGAUGCGGGUUCUGGGGUGAUUGUUGAUGGUGGUGUGAGUUGUGUUCCUUGUCGCUGAUGAUGAGGUGCUCUCGGAUCAGCGGUUUGGGAGCUGGAUUCGCUGGUGUUUUGCGUGUGAAGCGGCGGCGAAGUGGAGUUGAAUUGUUGGAGUGUUUGUUGCUGGAGCUGGUGUUGUUGGAGUGAGUUGAGCCUGAUUGUUGAGAUGCUGGCUUCUGUUUCUUGCUGGGAGUUGCUCCUUCUGAUUCUGAGUGUUCUUCGGAGCUGUCGCUUUGUUCUGUGGAGUUCGUUUGGGUUGUCCACGGUUGCUUGUUGGGAAGAGCUUGGUGUAGAGCGAUCAGCAGUGGGAAGAUUACUGUGCGCAUGGUCUUCUUGUUGAGUGUGGCGAGGAUGGCGCGGUCGAGAAGCUUGAGAAGGAGCUCGUGGAGAUGGUGAGCCACGUUCACACGUUUGCCGUCGAGUAGAGCUCCGUAGACUUCUGCUGUGCGCUUGCCGAUGGUGCGAUCUGUUGGGCGAAGUUCGUAGUAGAGGAGGAGGGCUUUGAGUCGAUCCAUAUGCUGCUCGUCGAUGUCCUCCCAUGUGAGCUCACCAGUAAUUUCUCGAUUGGCCUUGAUGAUUUGCUGUGGAACUUCUCCUGAAAAUUUGAGCAGUCCCUUGUUGGAGAUUUUGAAAACAGAGGCGAUUCUUGCUGGGCUGAGGGUGAUCUCGUUGGUGCCGUCGGUUAUGGUGCUGUUCUUGGGGUUGAAGGAGGCGGCCAGUUUCCUUGCUAGUUUUUGAUCAGGGUGUGUUGAAAAGGCCUUGUGGAGGAGCUCGAAUCCGUGGUCCUUGAGCCAGGUGGUUGUGUCGUUGCUGGGAAGCCUAGGAAUAUGGUGUAUGACGUAUCUGAGGCAUCGGGGUGGAUGAGCUGGCAUCUUUCUCUUCAUUUUCUGCGAUCGAAGUGCUCGCCCCGUUAGGGUUCUUGAAACCUGUAACUGUUGGUUGGCUGAUCGUGCGGCGCUCGAUUGCUGGUGAUGAACGGUCGAGAUUUGUUGACGGAAUUGAUGUGGUUUGAUUUGGCUUGAUUGCAAAUCAAUGGUGGAUAUUGGUGAUGAAGUUAACUCAAGUUCAACUAUUGAUAUUUGCUCAGGUGGCGUUGAUCCAACAGUAGCUUGGGACUUACAGAUUUUUGCUGCUGUUUGUUGCUGAAGUUGGUGGAUGAGUUCGUGUUGAGUUGAGUUGAGUUGUAUCGAACUGAUUUGAGUUAAAGUUUGUCUAUUGGGGUGAGUGUUGAUUGUUGGUUUUGGGGUGUUUGUCGGUUUGGGUCUGAAAUUUGUUGAGGUGUUGAUGUUGAAUAUGUUGACGUGAUAUGGUCGAAGCUUGUUGAGGUUGACGAUCUCAGUGAAGUCUUCGGCGAGUGUGCUGACUUUGGCGAUGCCGUUGGGGUAUAGUUCAAUGAUUUUGAAAGGUCCUUGCCAGUUGGUGUGGAGUUUUCGGCCAAGUUUGCCGAUGGGUCCUCGGUACCAGAGAACAUGGUCGUCGACGCUGUAUUUGGGAAUGUUAUGCCGGGAUGCUUGUCGGUCGUGCCGAGCUUUUCUCUGUUUUUGGAUGGCGUGAAGUGUCCAAAGGGCAUUUAGUCGGAGUUCGUCGAGAUGUUCGAGUUGCUGAAGCCUUUCUCGAACUGCAUGUCGGGUGUCGAGAUUAUACUUGACGGUGACUCGCAUGCUUGGGACGAUGAAUUCGAUUGGCGUGAUGGCUUCUGUUCCAAAGGCGAGUUUAAAUGGCGUCAUGUCAGUGGUGACUUUAUACGCAGUUCGAUAGGCCCAAAGUACAUCAAGAAGUUUGUCGUCCCAGUCUUUGCUGGAAUCGUUGAUGACUUUUUUGAGGAUGGUCUUCAGUGUUUUGUUCGUUGCUUCUGCUUGACCGUUGCCUUGAGGAUAGUAUGGUGUCGACGUUUUAUGUCGGAGUUUGAACUCGGUGGCGAGAUGUUCGAUUGUUUGGUUGAUGAAGUGGGUGCCUCUAUCGGUGACGAGUUCAAGUGGUGUGCCGAAACGAGUGAUGAUAUUUUCGUAGAUGAAGGUUGCUGUUGCUUUUGCUGUGGCAUGUUGGAGAGGUAUUGCUUCGGCCCACUUGGUAGUGUAAUCGGUGGCGACGAUGAUGUACUGAUUUCGUCGACGGGUGCUGACUUGGGGUCCGACGAAGUCGAGUCCCCAUUUCUGAAAUGGUGCCAUUGGGAAUGUUGGGUUGAGUUGUUGAGUCUGAGUUUUCGGUGGUAAUCGGUGUCUUUGACAUGUGUCGCAGCAUUUGCAGAAUUCUUCAGUGUCGUGCCAGAGUGUCGGCCACCAGAGGCCGGCUUGAAGAAUCUUCCGAGUGGUUGUGUCAGCAGUGAAGUGUCCGCCGGAAGGUCCAUCAUGAGCUUCCUUGAUGAUUUGAGUUGUGUGUGGCUGCUUGAUGCAUCGGCGAAGAAUGUUGUCAAUUCCGAGUUUGUAGAGAGUGCCUCCAAUGAUUGAGUAUCGUCGGGUUUUAGCAACAAAAGUCUUCUUUUGGUCGGACGUAGUGUACUGAUCUGGAACUUUUGCUGAGUUGAGGUAACUGAAGACGUCAUCGAGCCAGGUUGCUGGUAUUGAAACUCGGAAUAGGUUUGAGUCGGGUAAGUCAUCGGUAAGUAUUUCGGGUUUGUCGCCGGUGGUGAUCCGGCUGAGAUAAUCUGCUUGUUCAUGAUUUUUGCCGGGUUUGUGGACGAUCUCGAAGUUGUAUUCUUGUAGUAAAAGGAACCAUCUUGAUAUUCGACCAGAUAGUAUUGGCUUGUUGAUGAGGUAAAGGAGUGCCUUGUGGUCGACGAAAAUUACGACUUUAGUUGAUAGUAUGUAGUGUCGAAACUUCUGAAGUGAGUAGAUCAUGCCGAGAGCUUCUUUCUCGGUGGUGGUGUAAUUUCGUUCAGCUGGGUUGAGUAGUCGGCUGGCGUAGUAGAUCGGUUGAUCGCGGUUGUCGUGUUGAGUUUGGCUCAGAAUUGCACCACUGGCGACAUCGGAAGUGUCGACAUGAAUGUGGAACUCUUGUGUCCAGUCAGGCUUGGCAAGGAUCGGUGCUGUUGUUAGUUUGAGUCGGAGAUUAUCGAAUGCUUGUUGCUGUUCGGACGUCCAUGUCCAUUGGGCAUCUUGUUUUAGUCCAUCGGUGAGUGGUUUGGCAAUGUGAGCGUACUUGUGGAUGAAUCGUCGGUGAUAUCCUACUUUGCCGAGGAAGCACCGAAGUUCUUUCUGGUUCUUCGGCGGUUCAAGUUUGGAGAUGACGUCAACUUUGUCCUUGUCGAUGAGAAUGCCAUGUUUGCAGACAACGUGGCCGAGGAGUACUCCAGAUUUGACGAAGAAAGCACAUUUGUCGGGGUUGAGUGCUAUGUUGUUCUCCUCACACUUGUUGAGGCAUUUCUCCAGGCAUUCAAGAUGUUGAUCUUCCGAGCUGAACACGCUGAAGUCGUCCAUGAAGACUCUCAUGAAGUCAGUGAGGUAGUCUCGGAAAGUGUUGGUAACAAGCCUUUGGAAGGUGAAUGGGGCGUUGCAGAGUCCAAAAGGCAUUCGUCGAUAAGCAUAGGCUCCCCAUGGACUGAUGAAUGCUGUCUUGUGCUGAUCUUCUUCGGCGAUGUGAAUUUGGUUGUAGCCGGAGAAACCAUCGAGGAAGGAAUACAUCUCGUGUCCAGCGACUACGUCAAGAACUUCGUCGGUAAAUGGUAUCGGGAAGACAUCUUUUUCGGUGGCGUCGUUGAGCUGUUUAUAGUUGACGCAGAUUCAAAGUUUGCCAUUUUUCUUCGGUACAACCACCAGUGGUGAAAGCCAUAUCAGAUUCUGAAUUGGGUAGAUGUACUCGACAUGGAGAAGCUUGUCGAGUUCUUUCUUUACUUGUGCCAUCAGAUUCGGAUUCAUCCGGUAGGCUGCUUGUCUUCUUGGUUUUGAGUCUGGAAGAAGGGUGAUGGUGUGAAGGCUGAGUUUUGGCGAAACUCCCUUAAGGUCUCGAUAACUCCAAGCAAACAAGUGUUUCUUCUUUCGGAGAAGAUUGAUGCCUUUGUCUCAAAAACUUGCCGAGAUGUCAAUGGCGAGUACAAUGUAGUGUUCGUUGCCAUCGUCGGCAAGGCUGACUUUUUCGAGUUUUUGGUCUGCUGGAAUUGAUGGAAUGUAGGCAACUUUGUUGUGGUUAUCGACUGUGAAUGCCGGUGGCGCUUCGAGUUUUGUAUCUCGAGUGACUGGAUUUUUCAGUGCUGAUGUAAUCGGGGGUCGUUCUCGUUGGAAGUCGGCGACAAUUCGGAAGAGGUCGAUCUCGGCCAAAGGUUCGAGAUCGGGGUAGGCUGUGAGAAUUUGUUGUUCUUGAUAGUUGUCGAGGCCAUCUUCGAGAUUAUAUUCUUCCAAGUCAAUAGGUCGGUUGUGGCUGGACAGUGAUUUAGUCGCUUUUGUCGACACAGUUGUUGGUCCGUCUGGUCCGUGAAGGAUAAGAUUGUCAUUGGGCCAAUCUUGAUAAACUUGGGCAGUUCAGAGCCAAGGUCGACCGAGGAGAAUUGAGUAUCCGUCGGUCUGCUCCGGUAGUUUGAGGACGACAUAGUUGACUGGUAUUUUGACGCCUUGAAUGGUGGUGUUGACUUUUCGGAUGAUGCCUUUGGGUUGAACAGAUCGGUGGUCGGCCAUUCGGACAUUGAAAGGUGCUGGGUGAACUGGGCCAAUGUUGAGUUGUUGAACAAGACUUUCUUCAAUAAUAUUAACGCUGGAGCCGCCGUCAAUUAUGGCUCCUCGAACAAGAUGUUUGUCGAGUCGUAGGUCGAUUGUCGGAACAUCAUUGUCACAAUCGCCUGGUUGAAUCUCGGUUCAAAAUGUGUCAACAGCUGUCUGUGUUGAGUUGAGUGUGGGCGAGUCUAUCAAAGUGUUGGUCGGUGCAGAUGUCAGAUCAGUGAGCUGUUUGGUGAGGUAGGGUGCAAUCUUCAGCAGUUGGCCAAUGGUGAUCUGAAUAUUUUGGUUGAGGAUAGUCUCUGCGACUGCUUGGAUUUUGUCGAAGUUUGCCGAAUUGUGUUCUGGUGUCGGUGUCGAUGUUGGACGAUUUGUCUGUCCGUUUUCUGGUAUUGAGUCUUGGCAUUGUUGUCGAGCUAGUGAUGGUUGAGCUUCAUUGUCGGAGUCUAAAAUCACUAAUUCGGAUGGGUGUAGAGCGAGUUGCUGCUGUAUCUUGGCAGCUAACUUCUGCUUCUUUUUCCAUUCCCGGAGUUUUGUCGGGCUCUCAGGGCCUUUCUCUUCACUAUCUCCGGAAUCUCUAUCCGGUUGUUGUUGUUUUUCUGCUCGAAUUUGUGCUCGGGUUUGUACUGCCAUGACUUGAGGAUCUGAGUCGUCAUUGUCGGCAUAAGGUAGUUCGUCGGUCUCGACCAUCCUUGUUGUUGGUGGUUGCUGCUGGUUCUGAUCUUGUUGUCGAGGAGGCGGUGGACCAAGUCUCGGCGAACCGCCUUGGUUUUGAAGUCGAGGUUGCCAUAGUCGGUUGUUGUAGUUGCCUUGGUAGGCCUGGUCUUGAUAACCUUGGCCUUGGUAUCUUCGGUUUUGGUAUCUUGGGUAUUGUUGGUAUCCUUGGUUGUAGUUGUCUCGGUUUGCCGGGUAGUUCCGGUUCGGCAGGUAUUGUCGAUCGUUGUAGUUGUUGUUGUAGUCGUUGUUGUAAUUGUUGUAGUUGUUGUAGCGAGGUUGAUCAUUCCAUUGUCGACUCUGGUGUUGGAAGUUGUUUCUGAGCGGUCUCCAGUUUGUUGGAGGUGGUGCUUGGUGAUUGUCGAAGUAUUGAUUUGGAUAUGCUUGUCGAAACUGCUGUCGGGGAGAGUUCGAGACUUGUCGAACUUCUGGAGAAUUUCAAAAUCUGCAAGUCUUGGCGUCAUGACCUUCUUUGGCACAGAUUUGGCAUUUGGAGAUUUGGAGUUUGCAGUCACUUGCCGGAUGUCCUUCGUUCUUGCACUUAGUACACCAAAUUCCAGAUCGAAAUUCUUUGAUGUCGGUCUUGGCUUUUCCCUUGAGCUUGUCGAUUGUUUUCCUGAGUUUCCGAAGCUUUGACUUGGUGCUCUCUCCGAGUUCAUCGUCAGAGUCGUCAUCGGAACUGCUAUCAGAAUCUGAGUUAUCUGUGUCAUCUACUUGUGCUGUCAUUCGUCGAGCUUGAACAUCUUGAAGGGCUCUUGCGAGUUCGAGGUAAGUGGCAACGUUGAUGUGUGUUGCUGCUUCUCGGAGGGAUCGUCGGAGUCCUUGCAUGUACCAUUGGUAAAGUAAUGUUUCGGUGGCACUGUUUCCGCAUUUGCUAGCAUGUCGAGUGAAGGUUUGAGUGUAGUCGUUGAUAGAUUGACCGGACUUCUGCUUGAGUUUUUGGAUCUUGUGAAGUCGUUAACUUUGAGUGAGGGAAGACUUGAAUCGGUCUACGAGUUUGAGUGUGAGGUCGUCAAAACUUGUAUUUUGAGGAAGCGUUUGAGCCCAUUCGUUGGCUCUCUUUCGAAGGGUACAUCGGAAAUAGUAUGGAAGUUCGGUCGUCUGGUUGUUGAUUCGGAUGGCUUCUCGGAACUGUUCAACAUGUUUCUCGGCAUCUUCUGACUUCAGACCAUGAAAUAGUGGAUAGGAGACGUGUCUUCCGACUGGUAUGUUGGCGACGGCAGUAGUGACUGCCAUUUGCUGUUGGUAAUAAUGUCGGUAUUGUCGAGGUUGUUUUGUCAGGUUGUUACUGUGGAGUCCUNNNNNNNNNNNNNNNNNNNNNNNNNNNNNNNNNNNNNNNNNNNNNNNNNNNNNNNNNNNNNNNNNNNNNNNNNNNNNNNNNNNNNNNNNNNNNNNNNNNNNNNNNNNNNNNNNNNGACUGUUGUCGGGUGUGUCUUCGACGUCGUCGUAGUCGUCGGUGUCGGGUUGCUUGCCGGUGUUGAUUUUCGGAAGAUGGUGGUCGAACUUGUUGUCGACGUACUUGUCGGAGUUAUGUUGUGUUGGUUGUGGUUGUUCUUUUAAAUUGUGAAAGAGUUCUUCGAUCGUAUAGUUGUGUGGUGAUUGUGGUUGCUGUGGAAGAUUGUUGUCGUCGACAAUUGGUUCGUCGAUCUCGUUGUUGUUGGAUGAUUGUAGCUGUUCGGCAGGUCGAUGUGAGUUGUUGAUGUGGAGUGCUUGACUAUUGGACGAUUCAGGUUGUUCGUCUUUACUGCUGCUGACUGGGUAUAUUGGAGUGCAACUGUAAUUGGUGAAGUCGAGUUGUUGUCUCGUCGGUGCGUUGAAGUCGAAAGCGUGUUCGAAAGGUCUUGCUGAUAGCGGGCUUCGAUAGAUGUUGGAAGCAAAUGUAGGAUAUAUUGGUGUUGUGAAGAUCGGUCGGUAUGGCGAAAAUGGUGCUGGUCUGGUGAAGUCUGUGAAGCUGGGUGGGAAACUUGGUCGUUCGUUGUCACUAUAGAUGGGGUUGGUGAAUGUACCUUUGAAGUGGUUGUAUGCUGCUUGAAAAAUGUUUUGUUGCUCGGGCGUAGUCUGUGUCGACUGCUCGAAUGUUCGGUUGGGCUCGGGCACUUUGGUGGGUGCCGUCAAGGGUGCUGAUUCAGGCUCGGGCACUUCGGUGGGUGCUGUCGAGGGUGCUGCCGGUGGUGUGUCCGGUGGUGUUGUGUAGUUGUCGUAUUCUUUGCGGAUGUCCGAUACUGAUUCGUCGGAGUUAGCUCGCGGUAAUAAUUCGUGUCGGAUGUAAUUCUCUCUCUUGGAGGGUCUAAGAAUUUGAUUCAACUUCUCUUGGUCUUUCUUUCUCUUUAUUUCUAAAUUCUUCAAAUCUCUAUCUAAACGUCGGAUAAGCCGUUGUCGGUCUUCUUCCGACUUGCUGGAUGUUCUUCAUGGUUUUGGAUACAUGCAUUCUUCUACUGGUUGUCGGUGUCAGAUUUGUGUCUGCAGUCAAUCAUGCAGUUCGGGCAGAACUUUGGGAAGACUGUCGGUGGGCCAAUUGUUGAUAAAGUCGUCGUGAGCUUGUUCUUUCUUUUCAGUGCAAAUAUCGACGGUGGUGUGUGUUGGGUUGGGUUGUGGUCAGCCGAGUUGUGUUGGGUCGAGUGUGUUGGUGCAGUAUGCAAACUAGUCUUCCACGUGCUGGUGCCGAGAUGGAGUUCAAUGAAGAGUUUCGGAUAUUCGGGUUUGUCUGGAAUGAUUUCUUCGAUAAUGUCGUCGAGUUGUUCGAGUCCGGAUUGGGCGAUGGCGUGAUUGGCGAGAGUUGUUGCAGCGAACGUGUUGAGUUCGAACCGAGUUCGGACUGUUGUUUCAGUGCUGAGCUGCUGACUUUGUCGGAGGGGUUGUCGAAAAAUCGGUGGUGCGUUGUGAAGUUGUCCCUCGACAAGUUGUCCAAUACCGGGUAACAAAGUGAUGGGUUCGUCGUUGGUGUAGGUUUUGAGGAUGUGCUUCGGUAUUUGGAGUGGGCGCAGGAAUUGGACUUGUGUCGGAACGCUAGGAUUGCUGGGUCGACGAUUGCACAGAAGAUGGGUUCGUUUCGGUAGUGGUGUCGGUUUGUGUCGAGGGCGCUGGUUGAUGUCUCGAACUUGGAGUGGGUGGUCUUGUGCUCGGAGAUGGAGUUUGCCAAUGAAGCUGCUAAGGGCAUUUGCUGAUGAAGGUGCUGGUAGAUUGGAGUUUCUUGUCAAAGAGAGUCGUUGGUGUUCUCCGUCGGUGAUUGGACUUGGAGAUCUCGAGAGAGAGCUUGCAGAUUCUUCAAAAAUCUCCUCUGGAAAGUUUCUGUCUUUACUGCAUUGGGCAGCAACCGCUUGGACGCCGUUGAUCCAUGGUGGCAGUGGCAUUUGCGUGUUGAAUUUGGGCGAAUGUACGAAUUAGGGCGUAUUUUGGGCGAAUUUGGGCAAGAUGGGUAGAUUUCUGGAUCGUUCUUGCUAUCUGCGCACAGAGAAUGGAGAAAAAAAUGGAAGAAUUUGUGAACCUGAAGGGGAAUUCAGAAGCCAUGGUCGCCAAAUGAAGAGGUGAGAAAACUCCUCUUCUCUGGAAAUCUAUUGUUAGUAAGAAAACAAAAGAGAAAAUGGCCCGAUCUCCAAGGGCAGAGAAGAAGCACGAGUAAAAGAAUGCUGUGUAUUGAUAAGAAAAACGAUGGAAUGGAGAUAGGGAUCCAUAAUUUGGAUUCCCCCUUUUGAAAUGCUAGCGGUUUUAACUGCUAGCAUAUACCAUAUGCUGUGCAUGAUUUAAUCUAUGGCUCCGAUGCAGCCCUGGGUUCAAAGUUGGAGUCCCCUGAACCUUGUUUUUGGUUGAGACAGGCCUUCACCGCACUCGUCAAGGAGAAUGAGCAGCUCGUUGUCAAUCAGCUUCGAGGUGUCUGCAUAGCGGACCUCCACGCUCGUGAACGAUCCAGGCGCCAGUAUUUCUUUCACCUCCGCCCAGAGUCACGGGCGUUCGAAAUCCCAGCUGCUUCUCAAUGCACUCGUUCUGAAGCCAGCGCUUCUGUCUCCCCACGGUUGUCAUGACAGUUUCCACUGCCAUGGCUUCUGUAGCAUAUACGUGCAACCUUGUGUAGCUUAGCCUCGAGCUGCUUUUGUAGCAAAGUUAGUCCUUUUUGCCAUGAGAGUGUUCUAGGCCAUUCUUGGCCUAUUAAAAAUGAUCCAGUCGGCUGUUGUUCAUCCCCGACAGAUCCAUUUAAUUGAGCUUCCAGUGUAUCUAACGAGGAUGGAAAGUUUGAGACAAGUCCCUGUAGAAGCUUCCACUGAACGAUCGAUUCUUGCAGCUCCUGCUGGACUUUUUCCCACUGGUGUAGUGAAAGUUCUUACCUUUGCUGUUCCUCCUCGAAUGCUUGAAAUUGUGCUGCUCCUUCAUCAUCUUUAGGACACCCUCUAACUGCGUUGCAGCUCCUCGGCAAGUGAUGUAGGCUGUGAACACAGUUCUAAUCUUUUCACUCUUGCUCAUACCACUGCUCCAAAUGAGUUACCCUGGUGAUCCAAGCGCUCGUCACUCGAAGGUGGAGUUUUUGGGCAAAAACUUCACGAAAGAAAGUCUAUUGCCGCAGCCUUGUCGAGGUAGCAGAGCUUUGGACUGCAGUUGGAAUGACAGCCACCGACGCCUCAUGAAGUAUGUGAGUGGAUAGGUUGCCUCAUGAAGCAUGUGAAUCAGCUCGAUGAAAGCAUAGGCCCAUGGAUUGCUGUUCUGCCCAGGCACAGACACAAGAGCUAGUUUUCCACCAUGAGCGGCGAGCAACGAUUCAGAUAAUUCUAAUGCCAAGAUUCAGGCCAGAAAAUCUCACAAAAUGCAGUCUUGCCUCUUGUGGGGACGAUCCAUCGCCCUCUCAGUAGCGCCAAUGCGAACCUUAAAACGUUUGAGGGGGAACGAGGAGUUCUACCUUUCCAAAAAGUACAGCAUGGCCACCAUGCCAAAGCUGAUCAUCCAUGGGGAACUAGCCACUCCCUCCUUUCGAUUCUACAGCGAAGCACCUUCUCUUCCCGCUUAUUGAAGAGCCAUGGUUCUAAACAAAACUUCGAAGGAUUGCUAAAAAUUUCUAGAACUGCCUUUUUUGCAGCUCAACGGAUUACUUUUCAAAGAAAGGAGUAUAAUUGAAGUCUGAGAAUUUCCAGGAUAAAAAUCCAAUUAUCACAAUCUAAAAGUCACCUGAAAAAAACAUUCAAAAGGUUUUUAUGAGUUACUCAACAAGGAGAAGUUCAAGAAUUUCAAGGUCUCACAUAAGGAACUAGCUAUUAAGUUCUUAGAGAUCAAACUUGAUGAAAUUGUUGAGUUUGAUUAAAUAAAUUGCUUGUACUCACAGAGAGCAUUGCAGAUUGAAGCAUACAAGAGGUAAAAUGAUCAAGAUCUGAUGAUCUUCCAUCGUUAGGAAUUUGAAAAUCAUCGUAACCUGGGUUCUGGCUAAGAGCGCUUGCUUUGAUGGACUUGCAAAGCCUUGUCACGCUCCAAAGCAACCUUGGUUCUCAAGUCCUCGGGAAUCCGAUAGUAGUUGUCGCUAUCCUUGGUGUCCAUCUUCACGGCAAUUUCAUACACCUUUCUCUUGUGAGCAAUCUCCCGCUCCUCCCUCUUGCUUAGCUUCUCGCCCUCAAACAAGAAUUUCUCGUCUAACAAACUGUCUCUGAGCUGCGCCAUUAUUUUUUCUUGCCUAGUCUUGAGAUACUUUUGACGAGAACGAGCCCUCAACGCCUCUAUCAUUCUCCGUUUCAUCUCUUCCUCGUGUUGGGACAUGUCUACCUCCUUCUUUGAAGUGUUCACCAUUUUCUUGCAACCCUAGAACUUGGAAUCCCUUAAAUAGUUUGAUCCUUGCCUUUUGAAGAGAAUAUACUUAGAAUAUGCUCAAGCGUGAAACCAUUAUCAUUUUGGAAAUUAGGGUUCUUCGCAUUUUUUUCUCCUUUUUUGUGGCCAUGGCUCGCUGGCUGCGCAGGCUCAAUCCACUCAUGUCCGCCGCGCAGUCCGAGGCGGCCUCUCCGAUCCCGAUCUCUCCGGCGCUGGCGGCGUUCCGAGAGCGAUUGGCAAGCGAUGCGCCGGAGCUUAAGGAUUUCGUGAGCCAGGGCUCGGGUGUGGAAGGCUACUCGGUGGCGGUGGGGACGCGGGAGGAUCCGCGGCGCAAGCCGGAUUGGAUGAAGCGGAUCAUUCCAGGUGGGGAGAAGUACACGAGGAUCAAAUCGCAGCUGAGGGAGCUCAAAUUGAAUACCGUGUGUGAGGAGGCCAAAUGCCCAAAUAUUGGAGAGUGCUGGAGCGGUGGCGACACGGGCACGGCCACUGCGACGAUCAUGAUCCUGGGGGAUACGUGCACCAGAGGCUGCCGGUAAGCUUUCUUCUUUCUUGCUAGUUUGUUCUUGGAUGCAUUGCUGGUUUGCUGGACAGUAUUGGUUUUUCUUCUUGGUACUCUAGAUCUUUUCUUUCUCAACAUACUAGAUCAUUGCUCCAUUUUUUUAGAUCUUUUCUUUCUCAGCAUACUAGAUCAUUGCUCCAUUGUUUCUUUCUUUGUACUCUUUCUCGACAUACUAGAUCUGGUUUUGUCUUGGUACUCUCUUCUCCAUUGUUUCGUUCUUGGUACUGUUCAACACAUUGUUUUUUUUCUUGGUAGUUUGCUUGCUCUAACUAGAUAACGUUGAGUUCUUCACCAUUGCUAGCUUUCUCUUGCGAUUCCAUGCUGGUUUGCUUUCUGUUUAUUUUGCGUGAAGUUUCAUUGUUAGUUUUUUCCAUUCCUUUGUGAAGCUACUUGUACACUUUUUUUCUUUCUCGUGUUAACAUUUUUCUCGUUCCUGACGUGCAGAUUUUGUGCAGUGAAGACAUCGCGAGCUCCACCUCCACCUGAUGCAGACGAGCCAGCCAAAGUUGCUGAAGCGAUUGCCUCUUGGGACCUCGAGUAUGUGGUGCUCACGAGCGUGGACCGGGAUGAUUUACCCGAUCAAGGAAGCGGGCACUUCGCCGAGACAGUGAGGAGGAUCAAGCAACGCAAGCCGGGCAUGCUGGUUGAGGCCUUAGGUGAGCUUAUGCCAACAUCUGGAGGAACUAACGUCGUCUUCUGUCGCAGUUCCCGACUUUCGAGGCGAUCCCGACUGCGUGGAGAAAGUGGCCACCUCUGGACUGGACGUCUUUGCGCACAACAUAGAAACCGUGCAAGAGCUACAGAGCUCGGUCCGAGACAGGCGAGCAAACUUCCAGCAAUCCAUCAACGUCUUGAAGAUGGCCAAGCUGAAAGGUCCUCGCGGGGUUCUCACCAAGACCUCGAUCAUGCUGGGCUGUGGCGAGACAUCUUCACAGGUUUUGGAGACCAUGGCCAGAGUGAGAGACGCCGGCGUGGACGUGAUGACUUUCGGGCAGUACAUGCGACCGACGAAGAAACACAUGCCAGUGUCCGAGUACGUGACUCCGGAAGCGUUCGAGAACUAUCGAAGAAUCGGAAUGGAAAUGGUACGUUUUCGAAGUUUCGAAGUGUUUUUGGUUUUUUUUUUUUUUGCCAGCUGAAGCGUGACAAUCUCUUUUUCCUUUGUUUCUUACAGGGAUUUCGAUAUGUGGCUUCUGGCCCAAUGGUGAGAUCCUCCUACAAAGCUGGAGAGUUCUACAUCAAAGCGAUGCUCGAUGCAGAUAGAGAGGCAGCGAUGGUUUCAUAGAAAAACAUUAAAGGUAUGAUUCUUUCGCGCGGAGAUUGAUUCCGAUUUAACACAAGCCGUCGGAUUCUCCACGUCACCGAUUCCCGCGGCGGAGGAUCGUGCGGCCUAGCGGCGCCCCUCCAGAUCCGCCGCUUGGCCUCUUCCUCUUCGAGUGUAACUCUUGGCCACUUUGGCCAAAGAGUCGAGCUCUUGAAGAGGAGGAGGAGGAAGAACUUGGGCGAUCGAACAAACGAAGUAGAAGAUCAUGGCUCGACGGAGGAAGAGCCGGAGCCGGAGCCGGGGUGGCAAGAAAAUCCGCGUGCCAAAGAUGAAACUCGCGGUGCGCGAUGCUCUGGCGUCGCUCAAAGCCAAGAGAGGUGUCACAGCUGCGGCGGUGGCCCGGAAGAUCAAGAAGAAGUAUGGAAACGAUCUCCCCAAGCGCUUCCAGGCCCAGGUGGGGCGAUCGCUGCGCGGGCUGGUCCGAGCGGGGCGGCUGGAGCGUGUGCGCGGCCGCUUUGCGGUGGCCACUGGCAAGAGUGGACGAGGCGGGCGACGUAAAAGAGGUGGACGGUCGAGAUCGAGAUCGACGUCGCGGAAGGGCGGGCGGCGCCGCCGCCGCCGGGGUGGACGGCGAUCGCGAUCGCGGUCGCGGUCGAGGAAGGGCGGGCGGCGCCGCCGGCGUCGCAGACGCCACUAGAAAAUGGUGCGGGCGCAUAUUCCUUUGACUCGUUGGUUAUUUUUGUGGUUCUUUUACGUGUUUGUGGAGGUUUUUGGUGCAGGAAUCAGAGACGCAUUCGAUGAUGAGAUCCAUGACAAGAACAUCCUUUAAUUUUUUCGAAAAUGCCACUAUUUGACGAAUAAAAUUUUGAGAUUAGAUCCGACCUCGAGCUUCUUCCUAAUUUCUUCUUUAGCUCCUCCCACUUUUUUUUUAUCCAAGCCCGCCCCAUCCGUUUGGAAGUUCCGCUCUAAAUCCAGCAACGAAUUCAUUAGUUUUCGCCUUGCAUUGCAGCAAGAAAGGGAAGCAAAUCAUCGGACAGUCGACAUGGGCUUUUCCAGCGAAGUAGGUCGUCUCGCGAGCCGACUCUGCGCACUAGACAAUUACACACAGUGUUUCGAAUUAGAGUUUUCAUGAAGAACUUGCAAACUUUGGACUGGGCUGGUGCUUGAAAGGAAAAAAGUAGAAAAAAUGAUUGUGAUUUCAAUGGACCUCAUGUCGUCCAGUGUCUGCUGGCAUUUCAGGUAAUGAAAAGACGACGUUUAACUUUGAAGCAGCGAACUCUAUCUACGACUAUGUUCCAGCGCUUCUACUGCAGAUCCCACUUCAUUGCGACCAAAGAAGUGGCAGCGUCCAAGGACUGGUAUCCAGGGAUGAGUUCACAAGCACGGAAAGACUUGAAAUUGUAACCACCAUUUGAAGAACCCAUCAUCUGGUAAGAAGCUGCAAGGAUGAUCCCUCUGCGACUAAGGCGUCUGCUGUGGUUAAAUUGGAGUUUCGAACGUCCAAGGAGAGUACUGGUAGUCUACACCAGAUCCGAUCUGGCUCAUUUGGUUCGUAUGAAUACUGGACGGCGUGCUUGAAUGACGUCUCUGGGUACAUUCUGGAAAACGAGGCUUAUUACAUUGAUUCAAGGAAAUUUUGACCUAGUUAAAGAAAAUUAGAGGGAUUGUAGAAUUAUAAAUUUUUAUUAGAGAUUAUUAUUUAAAAUAAAAUGUAUUUUUUAUAAUAGUAAGAUAGAAUUGGCUGAAGUAAGAACAGUAUAAAAAAUAGUUGUGUGUAUACAGAAUUUUAUAAUAACUGCAAGCAAGGUGAUUUAAGUUUUUAUGGAAGUAAAAUUGCAUUUUAUGGUAUAUUUGGUAGUAAAUACAAAAAUAUUUUUCUGUUAUAUAGUUUUUUUGGGGUUUAAAAUCUAAAUGUAAUAUAAUAAGAAUACAGUCAAUUUAAACUAUUAAAACUCACUAUAUAGUAUUCAGAAAUAUUACUUGAUAGGCUGAUAUAACAUUUGAAAUUUUGCCUAAUUUUCAAACAUUUCAGAGUGAUUUUUUCUAAAUGUAAUGUUCUAUUUAUUCUUUUAUAAUUAUAUAUAAAUAUAUUCUUAAACAGCUCAGUUCUAUGCAAGUUGAUGAGAUCCCUUAAAAUAUUAACUAUCCAAUUAAUAGGAAGCUAGAACUUCUUACAUCUUAAGAAUUUAAUGAACCAUUGUACUUUCUAAGAUUUCCUCACCAAUCAAAUUAAUCUAAUGCUUUGUGAUCCUUUUUAUAAAGUCAUUUUCUUUGUAAUAAUCAAAUGUGCAUAUUUAUUAUCAAAAUAUAUUGAACAAUAACCAGCUGUUUCUUGAUUAAAAUGUAAAACUUACGUAUCUUUUUGUUAUGUGUGUGUACUUUAUUACUUCAUAUUAAAGCAUCUAUUUAAUUCUAUGUAGGCCAGAAUAGACGGAUUCUUUGUUAGUCUCUAUAUAUAACUUAAAUAACAAAAGCACAUUUUAAAUAUAUACUCUGAAUAUCUAUUAAUAUUGCUGCACGGAUUCUUUUGUACUCUUUCUCUUUCUCCAGCUUCCCUCCACUUGCUCGGCUUGUUUGUUCAGGGAGCAUUUCCUCCCUUCUCAUCUCUCUUUUGCUGAAUUGGAGAGUUCUUAUGGGACAAAUCCUGACCCUUAUCUUACUUAAGAAUAUGCGUGGUAUAAAGGUUAGCGUUUGAGGGUUGCAUCAGUGAGAUCGAUUCGAUUGAUUCUCCCGCCUGCCAGGUAAUCGAUCGCCAAGCUCGGUCGCUCAUGGAAACCUAAUUAUUUGUGCCGCCCAGACUGUGGUCGCGCAUCGGAGCUACAUCUUGUUCCAAAGCUCUUCUCAAGGCCCUCUUUGAUUGCAUUGCUUCGUUCCUCCAGAUAAGGGAUUAAACGUAUCUUAAACGUAUCUUUUCAAUACAGUAGGGACAAGAACAGCUACCUGUGGGUUCUAGACAUUUCCUUUUUGAGGAUGAAGGCUUACGACGGCAGCAGUAGCAACGGGCAGCACAAGAAGGCCUACGGCGGCAGCAGCAACGGGCAACACAAUGUGUUCACAAAGGAAAAGCCCAAGGAGGUGGACAUUUUUGCAAUCGAGAACCCUGCUGAACGCAGGCGAGCAAGGUAAGCAAGACUGAGUUUGAUCUUUACUUGCUUUUGUUUGUAACAGGUACGAGAUCAUAGGAACUCAUCGUCCGGGUGAGGAGGAGGGCUUACUCGUCGACCAAUGCAGAAGAUGUAAGCAGAGAGGCCAUUGGGAAAGACACUGCAAGGGGGUAAGAAAGCUCAAUUAUUUCCCAGAUUUGACUUUUUGUUUCUUCUUUUAGCCUGGAGUGGAUCCUUUUGCUCAUGAACAAAAGAAAUGCUACCUCUGCCUAGUGAAGGGACACGAUACUUAUCAAUGUUCAAGAGAUCCCCUGCGAAAUGAGGACUGGGCAGAGAGGACUUACACUGGACCAAUGAAGAGACUUCGUCUUCAGGUUUGUAUCAGUUUCUAUUCUCUGUUUCUUUGUAUGUUUAUUUGUGUACGUUUUCAGGUGGGUUAUAUCGUUCAGGUAGCAGACUUCCCGCAAUACCAUCCUCGUUUCUGCGUCCAACGGAUUGAAUACGAAAACCUCAAACGGAUCUGCAAAAAACAUCCAGACUUGGGAAUCAUGGUUGUGCCUGAGCCACCCUGUCCUCUUGCGGCCCUUAUCUGGGAAUAUUUUCAGCGACUGGAUGAAGUUUUAUACGAAGCAGGCCUAGGCUUCGAGUUUUACAGAUCCGAUGAAGAAGUGCCUCCAGGGUAUGACCGGUAUGCGGCUGCAGAAGAAGCAUAUAUUGAAGAAUUGAAAAAUGAAGCGAAGCAUUGAAAGGUGAUGAAGUAAUAGAAUAAGUAUUAUAGAUGAGAAGACCUUUAUAAGUUAUUUUUCGUUUUCAUUGAUGGGAUACUUUUCGUUUUCAUUAAAACUAGCUAAUGUUUAUGUUUUAAACUAGUUUAACGCCUAGAGAGAUAAAAAGAAGGUUCUUUCUGGGAGAGUGAAGAACUCCUCCUUCCCGCUCAAGCGUUUUAGGGUUCGCAUUGGCGCUGCGGAGCUGGAAGCGGCGGGCGCUGGAUCGUCCCCACAAGAGGCAAGACUGCAUUUUGCGAGAAAUUUCUGGCCUGAAUCUUGGCGUUGUUGGCAGUAGAAUCGCCGAAAUCUUUGCUCGCCGCUUCCCUGGUAGAAAUCUGGUGCUUUUGUGUCUGUGCCUAGGCAGCGCAGCGAUCCAUGGGCCUACGCUUUCAUCGAGCUGGAGAGGUCGCCGCCGGAUGAGGCGUUGGUGCCUGAAACGAAGCUGGUGUUGCGCCAUCAUUCCAGCCGCGGUCCAAAGCUUUGCUACCUCGACAAGGCCGCGGACAUUGGUCGCUUGAGGAGCUGCGACGCAGUAGAGGGUAUCCUAAAGACGAUGAGGGAGCAGCACGAAAGCAUUCAGAGGAGGAACAACAAAGUUAAGAACUUUUCACUACACCAGUGGGACAAAGCCGAGCAGGAGCUGCAAGAAUCGAUCGUUCACUGGAAGCUGCUACAGGGACUCGCCUCGACGUUUACAUCCUUCAUCCUUCAAAAUAUACGAGCUAAUCAGGUACCAACCACAAGCUUUUUUGUUAUCUUGGUUUCAUCGCAUUAAACUAUGAACACUGCUACAGGUCACUGUGCUGAUUGGUGAGACUGGCUCUGGGAAGAGCACUGGACUCAUGCAGUAUUUAUGUGAUGGUGGUUUAUCGAGCAACGGGAAUUUCCAUCGUUUGUACACAGCCAAGGAAAGUAGCAGUAUUUGCUCUUGCACGACGGGUUGCCGAAGGAUGCCGCUGAGAAGACGAAUUCCAUUGGCCUCUUGGAAUACAGGGCUCAACAAGACCUUGCCAAAAUGGUACGGAUUUACUCCUAGCAGUGCUGAAGGAAUGUUUACGCGCACUUGAGAGUCAUCGUUAUGUCAGCUACAGCCGAUGCCGAGCUUUUCGUUCCUGGAAGGAAUUUCCCAGUUGAGAUCCACUACGAACAGCACGAGACUUCAACCACAUAACAAGGACAAUGGAAAGAGUUUGCGAGCUUCACAAGGAGGCCGAUUGAGGGAGAUAUAUUGGCUUUCCUCACGGAUAUCGAAUGGGUCUGCCAGUGAUUGGCAAAUACGCCGCAUGCACUUGUGCUGCCUCUUCAUGGAAGGCUUCGUCAAGAGGAUCAGCAACUGGUAUUCGAGGCGGCACCACCUGGUACGGGAAAGAUGGUCUUUGCAACAAAUAUCGCCGAGACGUCUUUGACGAUGCCAGGAAUCAGGUACUUCAAAGUUCUUUUACGAUAAUCUUCCUUGAAGCAUGUAGCUGAUACUCGCUUUCUCGGCUUCUAGGUACGUGGUGGAUCCAGGAUUGUCAAAGCAAGCCAUCUUUGAUCCACAGACUGGGAUGACAACGCUGGAGCUUACGGCAAUCAGUCAAAGCCGCGACUCAAAGAGCUGGUCGUGCAGGGCGCACUAGUUCUGGUGUCUGCUACAGAUUGUACAGCGAUGAAGACUUUGACGACAAUGCUCUGGUGGGGACUUCGGAAAUUUCCCGUUCUCACAUGGGGAUUAUCAGGCUCCUGGCACUAGGCGGAUGAUGAAGUGAAGAACUGGAGGCUCACGAAAAACUGGCCAAGAUAGGAGUGGAGCCACGGCUAGGCAAGAUCAUCCUCAACAGCCAGGCUCACUGUUGUGGUCGAGAAGUCAGUACCCUGUGAUGACCAUCUUCUUCCGAGCCGGCUCUGAAGAAGCAAGCUCCUGGCAGACCGCCGGAAGAUGCGCUGCUGUCAUCGGCAUGGAGACCUGUUCAGCCUCUUGGACGUGUACCGGGAAUGGAGCAGCAAGCACGGCUGAUAGCGACAACGAAAUGAAGAAGCGCGGAUAACACAGUUGACUUUGAAGGUAUGCUACUACUCUUCAUUCAUGUUCAAGCAGGAAACCACUUUGUGAAGGUAUCUCCCAAGGCGUAUGGUACGAAGCGAAUCGAGAUCUCGUCCUGGAGCUUGCAAAGGCAGCUCUAGAUAAACUGGUGGAAGGCGCUCCUUUUGAAGACGGCCUGCUGGACGAAGCUGCAAUGAAUGCAACCAGAAGGAGCGACAGAUCUCACUGACGUCCACUUGGGAUGAUGAGAGUUCUGGUUGGAAAAUCCGGGGUCGACUUAGCCGGGCUGGAAAAAUCAGUGGGAGCUCCAGUGGCAUUCCUUGUACGUACAUGGGGACGAGGAAUGCGUGGAGAAAGCAAAGCAGGAAGCAGCGUCCUGGAAGAACGAAGCAACCCAGCAGUGGCAGCGAUCGUCAACGAGUGCAAGCUCAGGCUGUCAGGAGGUGUUCCUCGCCGUCGACUUCGCGGCCUUGCUCAGCAAAUGGACGAGCUGUGCAAAGCUUCCGUGGGAGUUUGCGUGGCCACGAGCGGGGGAGCCACAGGUCCGGACUGCGAAAGCUCAUCAGCGAUCUUUGUCUAGAGAGCUUACUAGAGAUUGAAGCAAAAAGAUAAGUAGUUUGCUAUAUAUAGCAUUAGGUUUACUGAGCCCUCUUCAGCGACGACACAAUGGAGGAGGCUGCUUUGGAGUUGCUGCGGUUCUACGUUUCUCACUUCGAUCUUCCCACAGUGAGAAUAGCUCCUGUAAAGAAGCAAAACGCACGCAGGCAGGAGUUCAUAAAAUGGCAUUCUAGUGCCCAAUCUUUUCGUUUGAUGGGCCUUCUCCCCAAGGAGGAACUUCCUCCUGAUUUGCGACGCUUUGGGUUUGAUACUUCUCCGGAGGCUCCACCGCCCACAAGGGCACCACGCCCUGUGGCGCCUACUUGCUGGGGUCGUUCACGACCCGAGUACGAGCGCCUCAAGGCUGCAUAUGACACAAGAGUGCAAGCGAUGGAAGACAUGUAUCGUGCGGCAAGGGAUGCCUGGGAUGUUCAACACCGAAAUAGAGUCCGCCAGCAAGCUGUUGUUUCAAGGUUCAGGGCUCUUAUUGAGAGCCACAGAGGGGCACCUCAGUUGCACGCGCUAGGUGCUUCUUUCCAACAUAGUGGCAAGGUGGAGACUCGUUUUGAUGGUCUCUACGUGGUUGUGGAUGGUGGGGAAAGGUUCCUCUGUCUUACUCCAGAAGAGAUCUUCCCUAGUGGUGUGCAGGAGAUCCCUUUGUUUGGGAUAUGCAGGAUUGGCGACAUUAAUCAUCAAUUUUAUUCCUUGGCUAUGUCGAAAUUCGAGGUAGGUCAUCUGGUGAAGUAUCCAGAUUACAUACGAGAGUACCCACACGGCAUACCAUAAAUGCUCCCUCUCUACUGUCAACUAUGAAUUGUUCUGUGGUAAUAAAAGUAUAAUAAAGCUAAUGUUUCAAUAUAAAAUGUAAACAGUAAAGAAUAAUGUGUCCAUUUUAGUUGAUAGAAAAUUGCUAUAUCACUUUCUUGCCCAAGAGAAAUCUGAAAUGAGCAAUCAAGCACAUAGAGGAAUGGAACUGGCUUGCGUGUGUGUGAUAGUGUGUGCCACACUUGGCACGCACACGCUGGACGAAAUGGGAGACAAAGACCUCCUCCUAGAGCUCUCCAUAAAGAAAUUCUGUCUUCACAUCGAGCUAGUGAGCUACUUGUCCUAAUGUGCAUUUGAAGUCUGAGAAUCGCAUGGACACAAAUAUUUUGCAGCAGUAGCUGAACUCUGUCAAGCAGGCUCUUCUCCAUAGGCAAAACAAUGGCGUGCAGCUAUGGAGGAGGAGUACCAUUCGCAGCAGGCAGGAAGGAGGGUGGUCAGCACGAAUGCUGUUCAGGCUCAAGCUUGAUGCUGCUGAGGUGCUGCGCUACAAAGAUUGCUUUGUAGCAAGAGGACUUUCCCAGGUGGCAGGAGUUGAUUUCUCAUAAACAUUUCCUCUAGGUGCAUUUUGGAAAACUUGUCAUGGUGAGGCUUACAAUCUCCAAUCUUCCACUGUGCAUUAGAUCUAAUAAGUGGAAAGGAGAUUUUGACCUAGUUCAUCAGCAUAAAGUAAAUUAGAGGGAUUGUUAUAAAUGUUUAUUAGAGAUUACUAUUAAAAAGAAAAUGUAUUUUUUUAUACUAGUAAGGAUAAUUUGCUACGCGUUGCAUGUAAGAACGCUUGGUUUGCUUAAUUACUACUUAUUAAUCCAAUUGAUCAAAUAAAAAAUUAGAAUUAUAAAAAUAUUUAUAAUUUAUAAAUACAUGCUAUCAACCAUUAGAUGGUAGAAUAAAAAAGAAUAUACUAGAAAGCGUUUAAGAAAGUUUAUAAAUUAUAAACAUGGUUAUAAAUCAUAAAUACAAGAUUAAUCUAAAUAAAUAACAACCAUUGGAUGGUAAAAUAUCCUAGAAUAUCCAAGAAUAUUCUAAAUAUAUCCACUACCAUCCCAGUCCCUUUACAGGUUUGCUUAAGCAAACCAAAAAAUAGUUAUGUUUACAAAAUUUAAUAGUAACUGCAACCAAGGUGAUUUAAGUUUUUAUGGAAGCAAAAUUGCAUUUAUGGUAUAUUGGGUAGUAAAUACAGAAAUAGUUUUUCUGAUAUAUAGCUUUUUUGGGUUUAAAAUUUAAAUGUAAUACAAUAUGAAUGCAGUCACUUUAAGCUAUAAAAAGUCACUGUAUAGUAUUUAGAAAUAUUACUUGAUAGGUUGAUAUAACAUUUGAAGUUGUUCUUAAUUCUCAAACAUUUCAGAGUGAUUUUAUCUAAAUCUAAAGUUCCAUUUGCUAUUUUAUAAUUAUGUAUAAAUAUUUUCUUAAACAGCUCGAUUCUAUGUAGGUCGUUGAUUAGAUGCCUUCAAAUAUUGACCAUCCAAUUAAUAACAUAUUUCCUAACCACAGAACAAAAAAUAGAGCGUUAUUGUAUUGGAAUGCCAAACUGGAAAUAGAUAUGGAGCAUUAUAAAAGUAAAAUAAAAUAUAAAAACAUUAUUUCUAUGCAUGUAUUAAUUUAUAUAAAGCAUUUUAAAGGUCUAGUUAGACUAUAGUCAAUAUUUAUAAAUUUUUUAAUUAGAAAAAUUAUAAUACAAUAAAUUUUAUAUAUAUAUAUAUAUAUAUAUAUAUAUAUAUAUAUAUAUAUGUAUAUAUAUAUGUAUGUAUGUAUGUAUGUAUGUAUAUGUAUAUAUUCUAUUUUGUUGUUUACUUCUUAGCAAAUUGGGCCCAAACUGUCUGGAAGGGGUAUAGUCCUUAUAAAACUUAAAUACAACAAACCAUAAUUGCUGCAAAGCAGUAUAAUUUUUUAAAUAUAAAAGUCCAACUUUUAAUGAUAUAUAUCUUAAAGCUAUAAAGAAAUAUAAAUAUGAUUUUUAUUUUAGAUUCCCAUGUCUAACACCAAGUUUGUACAUACUCUUUGUUCCACCUAGNNNNNNNNNNNNNNNNNNNNNNNNNNNNNNNNNNNNNNNNNNNNNNNNNNNNNNNNNNNNNNNNNNNNNNNNNNNNNNNNNNNNNNNNNNNNNNNNNNNNNNNNNNNNNNNNNNNNNNNNNNNNNNNNNNNNNNNNNNNNNNNNNNNNNNNNNNNNNNNNNNNNNNNNNNNNNNNNNNNNNNNNNNNNNNNNNNNNNNNNNNNNNNNNNNNNNNNNNNNNNNNNNNNNNNNNNNNNNNNNNNNNNNNNNNNNNNNNNNNNNNNNNNNNNNNNNNNNNNNNNNNNNNNNNNNNNNNNNNNNNNNNNNNNNNNNNNNNNNNNNNNNNNNNNNNNNNNNNNNNNNNNNNNNNNNNNNNNNNNNNNNNNNNCUUUACAUGAGUGUAAACACCAGCAAUAUAUAUAUAUACACAUCAUUGAAUUCUACAUUGUCUACACAUGGACCUAUAUAUAGGUUGAAAGCAUCAAUAUGUUUUGCAAUUAGGAAAAAAUGUAUGUUUUAGAAAUAAAUAUGCUUAGUAAAAUGGAUUUAUGUUCCUCUAUAAUGUUCCAUUUAACUUUUCUACCCGGUCAAACUCUAGUUGACUGUUUAUUUUAGUUUAUUGGUCUUUUAGCAUAAAUAUUGCAUUGAGAAGACAAAAAACAAAAACUCAAAAGGAAUCAAUUGUAAAUUACAAGUAAACGUAUCAGUCUAUAGGUAAAAUUCAAAAAUAAUAUGCAUUGCUUUUUCUAAAAGCCAGAUAAUAAUUCUGUGUGUGUAUUUUACUAUUCAUUCUAAAUUUUUUUAUAAAAUUAAAACAUCUAUUUAAUUUUAUUUAGACCAGCAUAGACUCUAUAUGUAACUUAAACCACAAUAGCAUAUUUUAAAUAUAUACUCUGAAUAUCUACGAAUAUUGCUGCUGGAUUGUGGAUAAAAUAAACCUUUAAGUGGAUUCUUUUGUACUCUUUCUCUUCCCUCCACUUGCUUGGCUAGUUUGUUCGGGGAGCAUUUACUCCCUUCUCAUCUCUCUUAAGAUUACUAUAGUUGCUGGGACAAAUCCUGGCCGUUCGUUUGAUAUGCAACUUCAGAAUAUGCUUGGUAUAAAGUUAAAAAUUUGUGUUAUAAGAAUAUAAAAAUUUAAUCAUACGUGUGUGUCAUUUACUCAGUUUUUUAAAAAGUAAAUUGAAACUAUAACUUAAUUAUCAUCCAAAAAUUAUUCAUCUCUAAGUUUUGUAAAUACAUGUGUAUAUAUAUAUGUAUUACCCUGCCUAGAUUAUACACUAAUUAUAGUACUAAAACUUAUGGAUUAUCCAUUUAAGACUGAAUUUGGUCCAUCCAUUUUUGAAUAUAAGAAAAGGUUUAAACCCCAAUUAAUAUAUUUAUUAAUGUAUCCCGAACACUCACAAUUUAUAUUUUUAUCAUUUUUAAUUUUUAAAAAUAUUAUAAGAUGAAAUAAUUUUCAAUUAUUAAGUAAUAGAAGGUAGAUCAUUACCAUUUAUGCGGCUUACUUAAUUUUUACACACACACACACACACAUUACCAUUUAUGUGGCUUACUUAAUUUUUACACACACACACACACACACAUAUAUUAUGUGUGUGUGUGUGUAAAAAUUAAGUAAGCCGCAUAAAUGGUAAUUUUAGCCGUUGGAUCUACCUUCUAUUACUAUCGUUGCUGGGACAAAUCCUGGCCGUUCGUUUGUAAUGCAACCUAAGAAUAUGCUUGGUAUAAAGGUUAGCGUUUGAGGGUUUCACCAGAAAAGUAAGGUAAUCUCGAGAUCGAUUGCAUCCUCCAGGUAUCGCCCAGCCGAUCGAUUCUCCCGCCAGACAGGUAAUCGAUCGCCAUGGGGUGGAAGCUCGGUCGCUCAUGGAAACCUAAUUAUUUGUGCCGCCCAGGCUGUGAUCGCGCAUCGGAGCUACAUCUUGUUCAAAGCUCUCCUCUCCGCCGUAGGCCCUCUUUGAUUGCAUUGCUUAGGUAAGGGAUCUUCGAUAAACAGGAUGAAUUAAAGCUCGCAUCUUUUCAAGAACAGGGUAUAGCUACCUGUGGGCUCUGGAGAUUUCCUUUUUGAGGAUGAAGGCUUACAGUAGCAGCAGCAACGGGCAGCACAAGAAGGCUUACAGCGGCAGCAGUAGCAACGGGCACUACAGCAAGGCUUACGACGGCAGCAGUAGCAACGGGCAGCACAAGAAGGCCUACGGCGGCAGCAGCAACGGGCAACACAAUGUGUUCACAAAGGAAAAGCCCAAGGAGGUGGACAUUUUUGCAAUCGAGAACCCUGCCGAACUCAUACGAGCAAGGUAACCGAGAUUGAGUUUGAUGUUUACUUGCUUUUGUUUGUAACAGGUACCAGAUCAUAGGAACUCAUCGUCCGGGUGAGAAGGAGGGAUUACUCAUCGACCAAUGCAGAAAAUGUAAGGAGAGAGGCCACUGGGAAAGACACUGCAAGGGGGUAACAAAGCUCACGAAUUUUCCAGAUUUGACUUUUUGUUUCUUCUUUUAGCCUGGAGUGGAUCCUUUUGCUCAUGAACAGAAGAAAUGCUACCUCUGCCUAGCGAAGGGACACGACACGUAUCAGUGUUCAAGAGAUCCCCUGCGAAAUGAGGACUGGGCAGAGAGGACUUACACUGGACCAAUGAAGAGACUUGAUCAACAGGUUUGUAUCAGUUUCUAUUCUCUGUUUCUUUGUAUGUUUAUUUGUGUACGUUUUCAGGUGGGUUAUAUCGUCCAGGGAGCAGACUUCCCGCAAUACCAUCCUCGUUUCUGCGUCCAACGGAUUGAAUACGAAAACCUCAAACGGAUCUGCAAAAAACAUCCAGACUUGGGAAUCUUCAUUGUGCCUCGGCCACCCUGCCCUCUUGCAUCUCAAAUCUGGGAAUAUUUUCAGCGACUGGAUGAAGUUUUAUACGAAGCAGGCCUAGGCUUCGAGUUUUACAGAUCCGAUGAAGAAGUGCCUCCAGGGUAUGACCGGUAUGCAGCUGCAGAAGAAGCAUAUAUUGAAGAAUUGAAAAAUGAAGCGAAGCAUUGAAAGGUGAUGUGUUUUAAUAAAGUAAUAGAAUAAGUAUUAUAGAUGAGAAGACCUUUAUAAGUUAUUUUUCGUUUUCAUUAAAACUAGCUAAUGUUUAUGUUUAAAACUAGUUUAACGCCUAGAGAGACAAGCAGGAAACCACUUUGUGAAGGUAUCUCCCAAGGCGUAUGGUACGAAGCGAAUCGAGAUCUCGUCCUGGAGCUUGCAAAGGCAGCUCUAGAUAAACUGGUGGAAGGCGCUCCUUUUGAAGACGGCCUGCUGGACGAAGCUGCAAUGAAUGCAACCAGAAGGAGCGACAGAUCUCACUGACGUCCACUUGGGAUGAUGAGAGUUCUGGUUGGAAAAUCCGGGGUCGACUUAGCCGGGCUGGAAAAAUCAGUGGGAGCUCCAGUGGCAUUCCUUGUAUGUACAUGGGGACGAGGAAUGUGUGGAGAAAGCAAAGCAGGAAGCAGCGUCCUGGAAGAACGAAGCAACCCAGCAGUGGCAGUGGCAGUCGACGCAGCCCAAUCGUCAACGAGUACAAGCUCACUUUUGCCAACGAAGGCUGCCAGCAGGGUGUUACUCGUCGUCGACUUUGCAGCUUUGCUCAGCAAAUGGACGAGCAAAUGGACGAGCUGUGGGAGAGAUAAAGCAAAAAGAUAAGUAGUUUGCUAUCUAUGAUGGAGGAGGCUGUUCUGAAAUAGCUGUGGUUCUACACCUUCCACUUCAAUCUUCCCACUCAAUAGAAUUCAUAUGGAAGUAAAAUGCUCACAGGUAAGAGUUCAUAACAUAACAUUUUAGUGUUAGUCUUUUAGUUUGAUGAGCAUUUUCCCCAAGGAUGAAUUUCUUCCAAUGCUAUGGGUUCGACACUUUUAUUGAGUUGCCACCACCGACAAAGGCACCAUAUUUUAUAGCACUUAUUUGCUAGGGUUGUUCAUGAUAUGAGUAUAAGGUUGCUGACAACACAAGGGUGCAAGCGAUUGAAGAUGUAUAUCAUGUAGCAUCAUGAUGUGUAUCAUGAUGUGUAAGAUUUUCAACAUCAAGAAAGAGUCUACAAGCAAACAAUUGUAUUGAGCUUCAAGGCUUUUAUUGAGAGUUACAUAUCAUAUUAGGUGCUACUUACUAACACUUUGGUGUUGAACAUCUUAUAUAUCUUUUGCAACAUGAUAUGCAUUUUCAAUCGCUUGCACCCUUGUGUUAUAAAUAGUUUUGAAGAGCUCAUAUUCAAGUCAUGGACAACCCCAAUAAAUAAGCACCACAGGGUGUAAUGCCUUUGUGAGCAGUGGUACCUUUAGAGAAAUAUUAAACCCAUAGUAUUGUAAAUUAGGAGGAAGUUUCUUUUUAGGGAAAAUGCUUAAAAGAUUAAACAUUAGAAUGCUAUAUUAUGAAUUUUUGCCUGCGAGCAUUUUGCUUUCUUAUUCUUACUAUGGGAAGAUCAAAGUGAAAAAUAUAAAAACAUAGUAAAUCCAAAACAGCUUCCUCCAUCGAGUUAAGAGGGCUACAUCGCUUAAACCUAAUACUAUAUAUAACAAACUACUUAUCUUUUGACAUUUUAGCUUGCGGAAGAUUUGCACAACUUGUCCAUUUGUUGAGCAAAGCUGCAAAGUUAACGACAAGGAACACCUCUUGGUAACUGUCAACAGCAUGAGUGUUGACAAUCUAGCAUAAACACACUGGACAAUCCUUUGCUCCUUCGACUGCCACUACUGGAUUACUUCAUUCUUUUGCUUCCUUCCUGCUUUGCUUUCUCCACGCAUUCGCUUCUAUCAUGAUACCUUUACAAAGAAUGAAGAGUAGUAGCAUACCUUCAAAGUCAACUGUGUUAUCCGCACUUCUUCAUUUCUUUGUCGCUAUCAGCCGUGAGUAAAGUAUAGACGGGAAUGCUGACGAGCACCGAGCCCCAAAACUCAGUUUUGUAAAUUGGGAGUCGUAAAUCAGGAAUCGGGAGGCUAGCAAGAGCACGCGCUGCAGCGUCGUGAUCAUUCCUGAUCCAAGCUCUGGCCGACAAGCCUCUGAACGCAUCAAUCACCUCGACCUCAAACUUGUCUGUUCUGGCACCAAGACCCGCUGGUACUCACUUGCAGAGCGUUCACCCACGGCUUUCCCAUGAAGCACGAUAACCUUUGUCAUCUUCUUCCCACUCAAAGCCUGUGCAGUGCCAUUGUGUCACUUAUCAACGCUUGAACCAAGCCCGACUGGCUUCCCGAGAACAUGAAAUUCCCACAGCUUUUACUGCCUCCUGGCUGCCAUGGGAGAGUUCUUGCUUCACUUUCUCAGGAUCCAGAUCAAGGUCGGUGAAGCCGGAGAUGAACACACCGGACUGUGAGCGCUGGCUGACUUUACAUGUGACAUAUGAGCCCCAGACGACUUUUCCUGUACAUGAAAGUAUCACAGCAUCGAUGUCUCCAGGAUCGCACNNNNNNNNNNNNNNNNNNNNNNNNNNNNNNNNNNNNNNNNNNNNNNNNNNNNNNNNNNNNNNNNNNNNNNNNNNNNNNNNNNNNNNNNNNNNNNNNNNNNCUUUCCGUCACGGGAGUGAUAAGCAGACUAUUGCCGGCCUUGAAAGUGUCACAUUGUGCGUCUUGGACCCCAGUUUCAGCGCAAGUUGGGCAGAAGCUCACGACUCUGUCUGAGGUGACGCUCCAAAAAACUUGUGGAUGCCUUCACCGCACUCGUCGAAGAGAAUGAGCAGCUCGUUGUCAACCAGCUUCGAGGUGUCUGCAUAGCGACACGCUCGUGAACGAUCCAGGCGCCACUAUCUCUUUCACCAUUCCGGCAGACCCGAUCAGAGUCACGGGCGUUCGAAAUCCCAGCUGAAGCCAGCGCUUCUGUCUCGCCACGGUUGUCAUGACAGUUUCCACCGCCAGACGCUGCAUGCAUAAGCUCGUUCAUGCGACUCUCGAUCCUGGACCUUGUGUGGCUGCUCGAGCUAGUCUGCUCUGGUUUUUGCCGCAAACUCUAGCCAAGAUGGUCGUCACAGGUGAUAUCGGAGUACUGACUUCUCGACCACAACAGUGUGCCUAGCCAUGGUUCCACUCCUAUCUUGGCCAGUUUUAAUCCGAAGUUCGUGAGCCUCCAGUUCUUCACUUCGUCAUCCUUAGCUAUGGCUUCCAGCCGCUGCAAACUCGUCAUUGCGUGACUGAUAGCACUGGCGCUGGGAGGCUCCACAAAGUCGAAGUUUUCCACGUCUUGUACGCCUAGUGCCAGAAGCUUGAGAACUACUAUCCCCAUGUGAGAACGGGAAAUUUCAGAAGUCCCCAGCAAAGCCAUGUCGUCAAAGUCUUCAUUGCUGUACAAUCUGUAGCAGACACCAGAACUAGUGACCAGCUCUUUGAGUCGCGGAGCUUUGACUGAUUGCCGUAAGCUCCAGCGUUGUCAUCCCAAUCUGUGGAUCAAAGAUAGCUUGCUUUGAGAAUCCUGGAUCCACCCGAGAAAGCGAGUAUCAGCUACAUGCUUCAAGGAAGAUUAUCAUAAAAAGAACUUUGAAGUACCUGAUUCCUGGCAUCGUCAAAGACGUCUCGGCGAUAUUUGUUGCAAAGACUAUCUUUCCCGUUAUCUUUCCCGUACCAGGUGGUGCUGCCUCGAAUACCAGUUGCUGAUCCUCUUGACGAAGCCUUCCAUGAAGAGGCAGCACAAGCAAUCAUUUGUAGAACCAUUCGAUAUCCGCCUGGGACGUGAGGAAAGCCAAUAUAUCUUCCUCAAUCGGCCUCCUUGUGAAGCUCGCAAACACUUUCCAUUGUCCUUGUUACGUGGUUGAAUUCUCGCGUAGUUCGUAGUGGAUCUCAACCGGGAACUUCCUUCCAGGAACGACAAGUGGUGCUUGUUCGAUGCCGCUAAAAAGCUCAGCAUCGGCUAUAGCUGACAUGACGAUGACUCUCAAGUGCACGUCAACAUUCCUUCAGUACUGCUAAGAGUAAAUCCGUGCUCGUCCACGACAAUGCAGCUGAAUUGGUCGAGAUUUCGAGCCGAAAGAUAGUAUGUGAUCCGUGCUGUAGACCAUUUUGGCGAAGUCUUGUUGAGCCCUGUAUCCCAAGAGGCCAAUGGAAUUCGUCUUCUCGUAACAGCAGCGGCAUCCUUCGGCAAGAGCAAAUGCUGCGAGGAUGAAAACGUCGAGGCAAGUCCCUGUAGCAGCUUCCACUGAACGAUCGAUGCUUGCAGCUCCUGCUGGACUGUUUCCCACUGGUGUAGUGAAAAGUUCUUAACUUUGUUGCUCUGAAUGUUUCGUGCUGCUCCCUCAUCGUCUUUAGGAUACCCUCUACUGCGUCGCAGCUCCUCAAACGACCAAUGUCCGCGGCCUUGUCGAGGUAGCAAAGCUUUGGACAGCGACUGGAAUGAUGGCGCAACACCAGCUUCGUUUCAGGCACCAACGCCUCAUCCAGCGGCAGCGGUCCGUGAGUACCAGCGCCGCGCUGCGACCUCUCCAGCUCGAUGAAAGCGUAGGCCCAUGGAUCGCUGCGCUGCCUAGGCACAGACACAAAAGCACCAGAUUUCUACCAGGGAAGCGGCGAGCAAAGAUUUCGAUGAUUCUACUGCCAACAACGCCAAGAUUCAGGCCAGAAAUUCUCACAAAAUGCAGUCUUGCCUCUUGUGGGGACGAUCCAUCGCCCGAGCUCCGCAGCGCCAAUGCGAACCCUCCCAGAAACAACCUUCUUUUUAUCUCUCAGGGCAUUAAACUAGUUUUAAAUAUAAACAUUACUUAGUUUUAAUUAAUGAGAAAACACUUAUGAAAACGAAAAAUUACAUUUGCAGCCUAAUAUCUAUAAUACUUACUCUAUUACUCAAUGCUUCGCUUCAUUUUCCAAUUCUUCAAUAUAUGCUUCUUCUGCAGCUGCAUACCGGUCAUACCCUGGAGGCACUUCUUCAUCAGAUCUGUAAAACUCGAAGCCUAGGCCUGCUUCGUAUAAAACUUCAUCCAGUCGCUGAAAAUAUUCCCAGAUUUGAGAUGCAAGAUUGCAGGGUGGCCGAGGCACAAAUGAAGAUUCCCAAGUCUGGAUGUUUUUUGCAGAUCCGUUUGAGGUUUUCGUAUUCAAUCCGUUGGACGCAGAAACGAGGAUGGUAUUGCGGGAAGUCUGCUCCCUGGACGAUAUAACCCACCUGAAAACGUACACAAAUAAACAUACAAAGAAACAGAGAAUAGAAACUGAUACAAACCUGUUGAUCAAGUCUCUUCAUUGGUCCAGUGUAAGUCCUCUCUGCCCAGUCCUCAUUUCGCAGGGGAUCUCUUGAACACUGAUACGUGUCGUGUCCCUUCGCUAGGCAGAGGUAGCAUUUCUUCUGUUCAUGAGCAAAAGGAUCCACUCCAGGCUAGAAAAAGAAACAAAAAGUCAAACUGGAAAAUUCAGAAUAAGUGAGCUUUCUUACCCCCUUGCAGUGUCUUCCCCAAUGACCUCUCUGCUUACAUCUUCUGCAUUGGUCGACGAGUAAUCCCUCCUUCUCACCCGGAAGACGAGUUCCUAUGAUCUCGUACCUGUUACAAACAAAAGCAAGUAAAGAUCAAACUCAGUCUUGCUUACCUUGCUCGCAUGCGUUCGGCAGGGUUCUCGAUUGCAAAAAUGUCCACCUCCUUGGGCUUUUCCUUUGUGAACGCAUUGUGCUGCCCGUUGCUGCUGCCGCCGUAGGCCUUCUUGUGCUGCCCGUUGCUGCUGCUGCUGUAAGCCUUCAUCCUCAAAAAGGAAAUGUCCAGAACCCACGGGGUACGUUCUUGUUGUUGAAAAGAUACGAGGUUUAAUUCAUCCUGUUUAUCGAGGAUCCCUUACCUGGAGCACCGAAGCAAUGCAAUCAAAGAGGACCUUGAGGAGAGCUUUAUGUAGCUCCGAUGCGCGAUCACAGCCUGGGUGGCACAAAUAAUUAGGUUUCCAUGAGCGACCUGGGUCAAACGCUAACCUUUAUACCAAGCAUAUUCUUAAGUUGCAUAUCAAACGAAGGGCCAGGAUUUGUCCCAGCAACAAUAGUAAUCUUGUAUUCAGCAAACGAGAGAUGAGAUGCUCCCUGAACAAACUAGCCGAGCAAGUGGAGGGAUGCUGGAGAGCGAAGGAAGGGAAAGCGUACAAAAGAAUCAACUUAAAGAUUUAUUUUAUCCACAAUCCAGCAGCAAUAUUCGUAUAUAUUUAAAAUAUGCUGGCCUAAAUAAAAUUAAAUAGAUGUCUUAAUGUGAUAAAAAUAUAGAAUGAAUAUAAAAUACACACACAGAUUAUUAUCUGGCUGUUAGAAAAAGUAAAUUAUAUUAUUUUUUGAAUUUUAACUACAGACUGAUACGUUUACUUGUUAUUUACAAUUGAUUCUUUUUUAGUUUUUGCAUUUUGUCUUCUCAAUGCAAUAUCUAUGCUAAAAUACCAAUAAACUAAAAUAAAAAAGAACCAUCUAUUUGUCAAAUAGAGUUUGACUGGGUAGAAAAGUUAAAUGGCACAUUAUAGGAACAUAAAUCCAUUUUACUAAGCAUAUUUAUUUUUAAAACAUACUAAUUACAAAUCAUUUUGAUGCUUUCAACCUAGGUCCAUAUGUAGACAAUGUAGAAUAUAUAUACAUAUAUAUAUGGCCGGUGUUUACAAUCUUCUAAAGAUUGCUGUGGUAACAUUUCUGCCUAACAAUUUACAUCAUUAAUAUCACAUAGGUGCUACAUUCCACAGAAGAAAAAAUAUUAAGAGAACGAAUUUUUUUAAAGGCUAGCAUUUUUAACCUACAAAAAUGGAUGAUUUACUCUUCCUUUAUAUAUAUCUUAAAAAGUUUGACUUUGACAUUAUGAUUGUUCUAAAUAGUUGAGGAUAAAAUUACAACUAAUAAACUGAAACAUUUCUACAAAGAGUAGUUAGAGUUGUAGUAAAUGAUAUUGAAACAUCAGAUAGCAAAUACAUUAAUAAAAGCAUCAUAUAUAAAAUAAUAUAUAUAAUAAAAUUAUUAUAUUUGAGAAUUAGUUCUAUCAUAUAUAAGCAAGAGUUGGAGAAUGCUGAAAGGAGAUUGACACAGUUCUAUUUUUAUUGCCUAAUAUAUUUUGCAAUUAUAUUAGAAGAGCUGAGGAAAUUCACGAGAUGAAGAUAUAGGUGGAGCAAAGAGUGUGUACAAGCUUGGUGUUAGACAUGGGAAUCUAAAAUAAAAAUCAUAUUUAUAUUUAUUUAUAGCUUUAAGAUAUAUAUCAUUAAAAGUUGGAAUUUUAUAUUUAAAAAAUUAUAGUGCUUUGCAGAAAUUAUGGUUUGUUGUAUUUAAAUUGUUUUAUAAGGACUAUACCCCUUCAAGACAGUUUUGGCCCAAUUCUCUAAAAAUUAAAUAAAUCAAAAUUAUAAGUUAAUAUGGAGAAAUAAUAGAAUAGGGCAAAGGUUUGUUGGUGCAGAUAAAGUAAUAUGUAGCUAUCAUAGCUACAUAUUAAUCUAUGUCCACCAAAUAUAAAAUUACUCUACUAUGUUAAACUUGACAUACUUCACAUUUACUAUGGUUUUUAACCAAAAUUACCUCUUCUAAAUUACCAUUCAAGUUUUAAUUUGAAACAAACAAAAUAUCCAAUAUCUAACAAAAUAGAAUAAUUAUAUAUUAUAGUUAUUUAUUAUAUUAUAAUAUUAUUUUCUAAUUAAAACAUUUAUAAACAUUGACUAUAGUCUAACUAGACCUUAAAAUCAUUUAUAUAAUUUAAUACAUGCAUAGAAAUAAUGUUUUAUAUUAUAUUUUUACUUUUAUAUUACUACUGUGUCUAUUCCCAUCUGGCAUUCCAAUACAAUAAUGCUCUAUUUUUUGUUUUGUAGUUAGGAAAUAUGCUAUUAAUUGGAUGGUUAAUAUUUGAAGGCAUCUAAUCAACGACCUGCAUAGAACUGAGCUGCUUAUAUACAUAAUUAUAAAAUAACAAAUAGAACUUUAGAUUUAGAUAAAAUCACUCUGAAAUAUUUGAGAAUUAAGCAAAACUUCAAAUGUUAUAUCAACCUAUCAAGUAAUAUUUCUAAAUACUAUAUAAUGACUUUUUAUAGCUUAAAGUGACUGCAUUCGUAUUGUAUUACAUUUAAAUUUUAAACCCAGAAAAACUAUAAAUCAGAAAAACUAUUUCUGUAUUUACUACCCAAUACCAUAAAUGCAAUUUUGCUUCCAUAAAAACAUAAAUCACGUUGUUUGCAGUUACUGUUAAAUUCUGUAAAUAUAACUAUUUUUUUGUAUUGGCCAAUUAUACCUUACUAUUAUAAAAAGAACACUUUCUUUUUAAUAAUAAUCUCUAAUAAAGUUUUUUAACAAUACCCUUAAUUUACUUUAUGCUGAUGAACUCCAUAUUAAAACUAUUCUUGGAUCAAUGCAAUUGUGAGUAUAUAGAAGAGUGAAGGGUUUGGAUUGAAAAUAAUCUGAUGGCUACUAAAAUCUUAUUACACUAAUAAUAUUUUAUAGUUAUUGAUUUUCAACCUCUUUAUUUAUGAGGAUGUUUUAAUUUAUAUUUAUUUCUUAAUGAUAAAAAUAGAUAGAAUAUUGGAGCUCUUUUAAAUUUUCUAAUAAAGAUUAUAUUCGACUUUUAGGUCUUAAAAGUAGAUUUGUAUUUGUAAUUAAUCAUUGUAAUAAGAUAAAAUUACUCUAUCAAAGUUGAUAAUAUUUUAAGAGAAUUCAUGAAGUAUUAUUAUUCCCCUUCUCAUAAAUUUGCAGCCUAAUAUCUAUAAUACUUAUUCUAUUACUUUAUUAAAACACAUCUAUUGAAGAAUUGAAAAAUGAAGCGAAGCAUUGAAAGGUUAUGCUUCUUCUGCAGCUGCAUACCGUUCAUACCCUGGAGGCAUUUCUUCAACGGAUCUGUAUAACUCGAAGCCUAGCUCUGCUUCGUAUAAAACUUCAUCCAGUCGCUGAAAAUAUUCCCAGAUAAGGGCCGCAAGAGGACGGGGUGGCUCAGGCACAACCAUGAUUCCCAAGUCUGGAUGUUUUUUGCAGAUCCGUUUGAGGUUUUCGUAUUCAAUCCGUUGGACGCAGAAACGAGGAUGGUAUUGCGGGAAGUCUGCUACCUGAACGAUAUAACUCACCUGAAAACGUACACAAAUAAACAUAAACAAAGAAACAGAGAAUAGAAAGUGAUACAAACCUGAAGACAAAAUCUCUUCAUUGGUCCAGUGUGAGUCCUCUCUGCCCAGUCCUCAUUUCUCAGGGGAUCUCUUGAACACUGAUACGUGUCGUGUCCCUUCGCUAGGCAGAGGUAGCAUUUCUUCUGUUCGUGAGC